GGGCUGGAAUGAAUGGAAGGACGGGGGCUAGUCUGUCUUUUUUUUACUUUUGGAAUUUUCUUUUUGGGUGAAGAGGCCCUGGUUUUGGAGUGGGACAAGAAGACCCCAUCGAGUUUUACUUAUUUGGUAGGGCUUUGUUUAGUUUUAGUUUGUUUAGUUUUAGUUUGUAUAAUAUUUUUUGGGUUUUAUUGUUUGGUUUGGUUGGGGUGAUCAAAGAAGAAAAAAUCUUCUAUUUUUUUUUAAUUACUGUUGUAAUAGUGAUCCAUUUGUUUAAUGAUCUAUGGACUAAGUUACCGUGGGGAUAACAGCGUAAUUUUUUUUCGAGAGUUCUUAUCGAAAAAAGAGAUUGCGACCUCGAUGUUGACUUAUUGUUUCCUUUUUUGGUGUAGG
Molecule: ribosomal RNA, 390 nt
Filed under: Heteronemertea sp. 5DS
Lineage: Eukaryota; Metazoa; Nemertea; Pilidiophora; Heteronemertea
Description: partial 16S ribosomal RNA
Source: RNAcentral